Molecule: long non-coding RNA, 426 nt
Organism: Camelus dromedarius (Arabian camel)
Lineage: Eukaryota; Metazoa; Chordata; Mammalia; Artiodactyla; Camelidae
Exons: 3
Source: RefSeq, a predicted model, not a curated record
CAGAACCUGAACCUGACAGCUUCUCUAUCACCUUCGGACUCGGGCUCAAGGACGAGGGAGCUGAAAGGGAAAUGUCAGCAUCCAUCUGAUCCAGAUCCCCAGGCAUUCCUCUCUGUGGACCAGUCCUUCCCUGCAAGUACAUUGAGGAAAGAAGGAGUCAUUUUGUGUCAGCUAAGAGGAAAAGAUGGAGACAGGCUCUUCAGUCAAUUUAAAGAGGACACACUGCUGGUAGGGAAUGUGAAACAGUACAACCACUUUGGAAAACAGCUUCUCGGAAAGCAGGUAACAAACAUACGAAGCACAUCCUUCCUUAUGAUGAGAAAAUUGAAAACAUCAAUAGGAAAAAAGUUUAGAUCGAUUCGUGUGUGGCAAGUUCCAUCAGACUCCAAACGAGUUUGGAGAACAGCAUCCCCUCCCUUGAGGUGC